Molecule: ribosomal RNA, 486 nt
Filed under: Triticum aestivum (bread wheat)
Lineage: Eukaryota; Viridiplantae; Streptophyta; Magnoliopsida; Poales; Poaceae
Description: partial small subunit ribosomal RNA
Source: RNAcentral
AUCGUUUCACAGCUUACGCCUCCCAGAACUCCACAGAGAAACGGAGUAUCGGAAAGACGUAACCGAACCCUGUUGGACAUGGUAAGGUCAAUGAUGUCUCUUACAGAUCUGCCGAUAUCUUUUUGGGGUCAUGCACUAGAAACUGCCGCUCACACACUAAACAGAGCACCGUCUAAGUCUGUUAAGACGACACCACAUGAGAUGUGGAAUGGGAAGAAACCCAGUUUGUCGCAUCUUAAAAUUUGGGGAUGUGAGGUACAUGUAAAACGUUUACAACCUACCAAACUCGAUCCCAGAUCAGACAAGUGUAACUUUGUAGGUUAUCCAAAAGAAACAAUUGGGUAUUCCUUCUACCUACCCUCCGAGCACAAAGUGUUUGUCGCUAAAAGCGGAGUUUUUCUUGAGAAAGAAUUUCUCGCCAAAGAAUUAAGUGGGAGGACAGUACAACUUGAUGAGAUUAGUGAAUCUUCGGCAACUGUUGAUAUG